GACGAACGCUGGCGGCGUGCUUAACACAUGCAAGUCGAACGGAAAGGCCCUGCUUUUGUGGGGUGCUCGAGUGGCGAACGGGUGAGUAACACGUGAGUAACCUGCCCUUGACUUUGGGAUAACUUCAGGAAACUGGGGCUAAUACCGGAUAGGAGCUCCUGCUGCAUGGUGGGGGUUGGAAAGUUUCGGCGGUUGGGGAUGGCCUCGCGGCUUAUCAGCUUGUUGGUGGGGUAGUGGCUUACCAAGGCUUUGACGGGUAGCCGGCCUGAGAGGGUGACCGGCCACAUUGGGACUGAGAUACGGCCCAGACUCCUACGGGAGGCAGCAGUGGGGAAUAUUGCACAAUGGGCGGAAGCCUGAUGCAGCAACGCCGCGUGCGGGAUGACGGCCUUCGGGUUGUAAACCGCUUUCGCCUGUGACGAAGCGUGAGUGACGGUAAUGGGUAAAGAAGCACCGGCUAACUACGUG
Molecule: ribosomal RNA, 468 nt
Filed under: uncultured bacterium
Lineage: Bacteria
Description: partial 16S ribosomal RNA
Rfam family: Bacterial small subunit ribosomal RNA
Source: RNAcentral